CACUUUCAGUCGUGAGGAAGGUAGUGUAGUUAAUAGCUGCAUUAUUUGACGUUAGCGACAGAAGAAGCACCGGCUAACUCCGUGCCAGCAGCCGCGGUAAUACGGAGGGUGCGAGCGUUAAUCGGAAUUACUGGGCGUAAAGCGCAUGCAGGUGGUUUGUUAAGUCAGAUGUGAAAGCCCGGGGCUCAACCUCGGAAUUGCAUUUGAAACUGGCAGACUAGAGUACUGUAGAGGGGGGUAGAAUUUCAGGUGUAGCGGUGAAAUGCGUAGAGAUCUGAAGGAAUACCGGUGGCGAAGGCGGCCCCCUGGACAGAUACUGACACUCAGAUGCGAAAGCGUGGGGAGCAAACAGGAUUAGAUACCCUGGUAGUCCACGCCGUAAACGAUGUCUACUUGGAGGUUGUGGCCUUGAGCCGUGGCUUUCGGAGCUAACGCGUUAAGUAGACCGCCUGGGGAGUACGGUCGCAAGAUUAAAACUCAAAUGAAUUGACGGGGGCCCGCACAAGCGGUGGAGCAUGUGGUUUAAUUCGAUGCAACGCGAAGAACCUUACCUACUCUUGACAUCCAGAGAACUUUCCAGAGAUGGAUUGGUGCCUUCGGGAACUCUGAGACAGGUGCUGCAUGGCUGUCGUCAGCUCGUGUUGUGAAAUGUUGGGUUAAGUCCCGCAACGAGCGCAACCCUUAUCCUUGUUUGCCAGCGAGUAAUGUCGGGAACUCCAGGGAGACUGCCGGUGAUAAACCGGAGGAAGGUGGGGACGACUUCAAGUCAUCAUGGCCCUUACAAGAAGGGCUACACACGUG
RNAcentral lists this ribosomal RNA (801 nucleotides) under Vibrio parahaemolyticus. Its description in RNAcentral is "bacterial SSU rRNA". It matches the Rfam family "Bacterial small subunit ribosomal RNA", at positions 431 to 1224 of the family's 1533-position model. Lineage: Bacteria; Pseudomonadati; Pseudomonadota; Gammaproteobacteria; Vibrionales; Vibrionaceae. The record is from RNAcentral.